UCAUCCUGGACUCGGGGGCAGCGGGCCUGCUCUGAGCCCUCACCCUGGACUUGUCUCCUCUGUUCAGUUCAUGCCAUGGAGGAAGUGGUGAAGGAGGUGGUGGGACAUGCCAAGGAGACUGGAGAGAAAGCCAUUGCCGAAGCCAUAAAGAAAGCCCAAGAGUCAGGGGACAAAAAGAUGAAGGAAGUCACUGAGACAGUGACCAACACAGUCACAAAUGCCAUCACCCAUGCAGCAGAGAGUCUGGGCAAACUUGGACAGUGAAUGCACCUGCUACCAUGGCCCACCCUUCCCAAGUCUCAAUAAAAAGCCAUGAAAUAUG
Molecule: long non-coding RNA, 322 nt
Organism: Homo sapiens (human)
Lineage: Eukaryota; Metazoa; Chordata; Mammalia; Primates; Hominidae
Gene: FAM25EP
Product: family with sequence similarity 25 member E, pseudogene
Source: Ensembl